RNAcentral lists this ribosomal RNA (520 nucleotides) under uncultured Bacteroidota bacterium. RNAcentral's name for it is "bacterial SSU rRNA". It matches the Rfam family "Bacterial small subunit ribosomal RNA", at positions 889 to 1410 of the family's 1533-position model. Lineage: Bacteria; Pseudomonadati; Bacteroidota. The record is from RNAcentral.
CAAGAAUGAAACUCAAAGGAAUUGACGGGGGCCCGCACAAGCGGAGGAACAUGUGGUUUAAUUCGAUGAUACGCGAGGAACCUUACCCGGGCUUGAAAGUUAGCGACGACGCUUGAAAGAGCGUUUCCCUUCGGGGCGCGAAACUAGGUGCUGCAUGGUUGUCGUCAGCUCGUGCCGUGAGGUGUCGGGUUAAGUCCCAUAACGAGCGCAACCCCUACUGUUAGUUGCCAUCAGGUGAUGCUGGGCACUCUAGCGGGACUGCCGGUGUAAGCCGAGAGGAAGGUGGGGAUGACGUCAAAUCAGCACGGCCCUUACGUCCGGGGCCACACACGUGUUACAAUGGUAGGUACAGAGGGCAGCUACCCUGCGAAGGGGUGCGAAUCUCGAAAGCCUAUCUCAGUUCGGAUUGGAGGCUGAAACCCGCCUCCAUGAAGUUGGAUUCGCUAGUAAUCGCGCAUCAGCCAUGGCGCGGUGAAUACGUUCCCGGGCCUUGUACACACCGCCCGUCAAGCCAUGGGAG